UACGUAGGGUACAAGCGUUGUCCGGAAUUAUUGGGCGUAAAGAGCUCGUAGGCGGUUUGUUGCGUCUAUCGUGAAAACCUGCAGCUUAACUGUGGGCUUGCGGUGGAUACGGGCAGACUUGAGUUCGGUAGGGGAGACUGGAAUUCCUGGUGUAGCGGUGAAAUGCGCAGAUAUCAGGAGGAACACCGGUGGCGAAGGCGGGUCUCUGGGCCGAUACUGACGCUGAGGAGCGAAAGCGUGGGGAGCGAACAGG
RNAcentral lists this ribosomal RNA (253 nucleotides) under uncultured bacterium. RNAcentral's name for it is "partial 16S ribosomal RNA". It matches the Rfam family "Bacterial small subunit ribosomal RNA", at positions 524 to 776 of the family's 1533-position model. The record is from RNAcentral.